UCCGAUUUGUCACCGGCAGUCUCCCUAGAGUCCCCGACAUAACUCGCUGGCAACUAGGGACAGGGGUUGCGCUCGUUGCGGGACUUAACCCAACAUCUCACGACACGAGCUGACGACAACCAUGCACCACCUGUCACUCUGUCCCCCGAAGGGGAACGUCCUAUCUCUAGGAGUGUCAGAGGAUGUCAAGACCUGGUAAGGUUCUUCGCGUUGCAUCGAAUUAAAGAACAUGCUCCGCUGCUUGUGCGGGCCCCCGUCAAUUCUUUUGAGUUUUAGCCUUGCGACCGUACUCCCCAGGCGGGAUGCUUAAUGCGUUAGCUGCGCCACUGACGGGCAAGCCCGCCAACGGCUAGCAUCCAUCGUUUACGGCGUGGACUAC
This 379-nucleotide unclassified non-coding RNA is filed under the name uncultured bacterium. RNAcentral's name for it is "contains 16S-23S intergenic spacer region". The record is from RNAcentral.